CGCGUACGUGAGUGUAGUGUUAGAGGGUUUCCGCCCUUUAGUGCUGCAGCAAACGCAUUAAGCACUCCGCCUGGGGAGUACGGUCGCAAGACUGAAACUCAAAGGAAUUGACGGGGGCCCGCACAAGCGGUGGAGCAUGUGGUUUAAUUCGAAGCAACGCGAAGAACCUUACCAGGUCUUGACAUCCUCUGACAACCCUAGAGAUAGGGCUUCCCCUUCGGGGGCAGAGUGACAGGUGGUGCAUGGUUGUCGUCAGCUCGUGUCGUGAGAUGUUGGGUUUAAGUCCCGCAAACGAGCGCAACCCCUUGAUCUUAGUUGCCCAGCCAUUCCAGUUUGGGGCACUUCUAAGGUGGACUGCCCGGGUGACCAAACCGGGAGGAAAGGUGGGGAAUGAACGUCCAAAUUCAUCCAUGGCCCCCUUU
This 422-nucleotide ribosomal RNA is filed under the name Bacillus licheniformis. Its description in RNAcentral is "bacterial SSU rRNA". It matches the Rfam family "Bacterial small subunit ribosomal RNA", at positions 801 to 1205 of the family's 1533-position model. The record is from RNAcentral. Lineage: Bacteria; Bacillati; Bacillota; Bacilli; Caryophanales; Bacillaceae.